Long non-coding RNA from Bos taurus (domestic cattle), 885 nucleotides. The record is from Ensembl. NCBI's taxonomy places the organism in Eukaryota, Metazoa, Chordata, Mammalia, Artiodactyla, Bovidae.
CCAAAGUCCAUGAGUCCGUACCGGAGUGAACAACUGAAGGAAGCGAAACAAAGAAGAAGGAACAGUGAGCAGGCCUGAUCACUGCUAGCUUUUACUUGGGUGUGUGCCCAAUGGCUCAGUUGUGUCCGACUCUUUGUGACCCCGUGGACUGUAGCCCGCCAGGCUCCUCUGUCCAUGGGACUCUCCAGUUACAGGCAAACCGAGCUGGUUGAUCACCCCAGUUAGUUCCCGGCCCACCUUGAGAGUAGGAGAGAGUGCCUUUCAUCCUGAGACCAGCAAGAGGGGCUUCAAGGACCCAGGCGAACAGGCGUCUCCUGCUGCUGGCUCCACGCUGGAUGCAUUAAAGGCCAAGGUCAUCCCUGUUGCUGCCCAGCUGGCUGUGGAACUGGACCGGUGGCUGUGUUUUCCGGAUGACUGGGCAAAGGUGUGCGCCCUGGUGGGUCAGGAACCAUCCAAGAAGUACCUAAGGCCCAGCAGAGAGCCUGAAAGAGAGAGAUAUGCACUCGGAAUCCCCCAAUCCUGGAGGGUCCCAGUCCCCUCCCGCCCUCCCUCCCGGAGGAGGACGGCAGAGGCCCAGCUGGCCUCCCCCGCUGUGGUUCCACUGCUGCUCGAAGCCUAGUGGAGCUGGAGGAGGGGAGAAGCCGUGACUGGGAAUAAACCUUCGUUUUGAUCAUUAAACCAGAACUGGAGUUGUAAUUCCUAAGCGGACACGGCCCUGGGACUAGAAGGGACCGGAGGAUUUACUGCCCAUGAGAGCGACCGGAGAGGUGUGGCAGCUGCCCAGGGGUCCAUCCAGCUGCUGGGGAAGGUCUCCGCCUCACCCCGAUCUCCUGUGUGUUUAGCUAAGGGCCCGUGGUGGAUGUGGCUCUCAACAGAGGCCAGGUG